Molecule: ribosomal RNA, 253 nt
Filed under: uncultured bacterium
Lineage: Bacteria
Description: partial 16S ribosomal RNA
Rfam family: Bacterial small subunit ribosomal RNA
Source: RNAcentral
UACAGAGGUCUCAAGCGUUGUUCGGAUUCAUUGGGCGUAAAGGGUGCGUAGGCGGCGCGGUAAGUCGGGUGUGAAAUCUCGGAGCUUAACUCCGAAACUGCAUUCGAUACUGCCGUGCUUGAGGACUGGAGAGGAGACUGGAAUUUACGGUGUAGCGGUGGAAUGCGUAGAUAUCGGGAGGAACACCAGUGGCGAAGGCGGUUACCUGGAGCUUUGCUGACGCUGAUGCGCGAAAGCGUGGGGAGCGAUCCGG